CCCUUAGAUGUUCUGGGCCACACGCGCGCUACACUGACUGGUGCAACAAGUGUCGCUCCUUGGCCGAUAGGCCUGGGCAAUCUUUGAACGCCAGUCGUGAUGGGGAUAGAUUCUUGCAAUUUUUGAUCUUCAACGAGGAAUUCCUAGUAAACGCGAGUCAUCAACUCGCAUUGAUUACGUCCCUGCCCUUUGUACACACCGCCCGUCGCACCUACCGAUUGAAUGGUCCGGUGAACCCUCCGGAUCGGCCCGCGCCAACGCAAGUUGAGCAAAGGCCGAGAAGUUGGGUAAACCUUACCAUUUAGAGGAAGGUGAAGUCGUAACA
This 325-nucleotide ribosomal RNA is filed under the name uncultured eukaryote. Its description in RNAcentral is "partial 18S ribosomal RNA". It matches the Rfam family "Eukaryotic small subunit ribosomal RNA", at positions 1470 to 1796 of the family's 1831-position model. The record is from RNAcentral.